RNAcentral lists this ribosomal RNA (385 nucleotides) under Enterobacter hormaechei. Its description in RNAcentral is "bacterial SSU rRNA". It matches the Rfam family "Bacterial small subunit ribosomal RNA", at positions 1153 to 1533 of the family's 1533-position model. Lineage: Bacteria; Pseudomonadati; Pseudomonadota; Gammaproteobacteria; Enterobacterales; Enterobacteriaceae. The record is from RNAcentral.
CAGUGAUAAACUGGAGGAAGGUGGGGAUGACGUCAAGUCAUCAUGGCCCUUACGAGUAGGGCUACACACGUGCUACAAUGGCGCAUACAAAGAGAAGCGACCUCGCGAGAGCAAGCGGACCUCAUAAAGUGCGUCGUAGUCCGGAUUGGAGUCUGCAACUCGACUCCAUGAAGUCGGAAUCGCUAGUAAUCGUGGAUCAGAAUGCCACGGUGAAUACGUUCCCGGGCCUUGUACACACCGCCCGUCACACCAUGGGAGUGGGUUGCAAAAGAAGUAGGUAGCUUAACCUUCGGGAGGGCGCUUACCACUUUGUGAUUCAUGACUGGGGUGAAGUCGUAACAAGGUAACCGUAGGGGAACCUGCGGUUGGAUCACCUCCUUACCUU